CCUACGGGUGGCAGCAGUGGGGAAUAUUGCGCAAUGGGCGAAAGCCUGACGCAGCGACGCCGCGUGAGGGAUGAAGGCCUUCGGAUUGUAAACCUCUUUUAGCAGGGAAGAACGGUCACUGUGUUAAUCAGCAGUGACUUGACGGUACCUGCAAAGUAAGCACCGGCUAAAGCCGUGCCAGCAGCCGCGGUAAUACGGAGGGUGCGAGCGUGAAUCGGAAUUACUGGGCGUAAAGCGCCCGUAGGCGGUAUGUCAAGUCAAGGGUGAAAUCCCCGCGCUCAACGGUGGAACUGCGUUGGAAACUGGCAAACUGGAGUGUGGGAGGGGAUAGUGGAAUUCCAGGUGUAGGAGUGAAAUCCGGAGAUAUCUGGAGGAACAUCAGUGGCGAAGGCGACUAUCUGGCACAUAACUGACGCUGAGGAGCGAAAGCGUGGGUAGCAAACAGGAUUAGAUACCCGGGUAGUC
RNAcentral lists this ribosomal RNA (465 nucleotides) under uncultured bacterium. Its description in RNAcentral is "partial 16S ribosomal RNA". It matches the Rfam family "Bacterial small subunit ribosomal RNA", at positions 338 to 795 of the family's 1533-position model. The record is from RNAcentral.